This 500-nucleotide ribosomal RNA is filed under the name uncultured bacterium. RNAcentral's name for it is "partial 16S ribosomal RNA". It matches the Rfam family "Bacterial small subunit ribosomal RNA", at positions 29 to 523 of the family's 1533-position model. The record is from RNAcentral.
AUUGAACGCUGGCGGCGUGCUUAACACAUGCAAGUCGAUCGGUAACGCGGGGGCAACCCUGGCGACGAGAGGCGGACGGGUGAGGAACGCUUGGGAAUCUGCCUAUCAGCGGGGGACAACACGGGGAAACUCGUGCUAAUACCGCAUACGCUCUACGGAGGAAAGCCGGGGACCGCAAGGCCUGGCACUGAUAGAUGAGCCCAAGCCGGAUUAGCUAGUUGGCGGGGUAACGGCCCACCAAGGCGACGAUCCGUAGCUGGUCUGAGAGGACGAUAAGCCACACUGGGACUGAGACACGGCCCAGACUCCGAAGGGAGGCAGCAGUGGGGAAUAUUGGACAAUGGGGGAAACCCGGAUCCGGCGACGCCGCGUGGGUGAAGAAGGCCUGCGGGUUGUAAAGCCCUUUCAGCGGGGAGGAAGGCUGUAGUGUUAAUAGUAUUACAGUUUGACGUUACCCGAAGAAGAAGCACCGGCUAACUCUGUGCCAGCCGCCGCCGUAA